CGCGUAGGUGGUAGUGUAAGUCUGGGGUGGAAUGCCGGGGCUUAACCCUGGAAUUGCCUUGGAAACUGCAUUACUUGAGUCAGUGAGGGGAGGGUAGAAUUCCUGGUGUAGCGGUGAAAUGCGUAGAUAUCAGGAGGAAGGCCUGUGGCGAAGGCGGCCCUCUGGCGCUGGACUGACACUGAGGCGCGAAAGCGUGGGGAGCAAACAGGAUUAGAUACCCUGGUAGUCCACGCCCUAAACGGUGGGCACUAGGUGUAGGGCUCGUAAGGGUUCUGUGCCGAAGGGAACCAUUAAGUGCCCCGCCUGGGGAGUACGGCCGCAAGGUUGAA
RNAcentral lists this ribosomal RNA (329 nucleotides) under uncultured bacterium. Its description in RNAcentral is "bacterial SSU rRNA". It matches the Rfam family "Bacterial small subunit ribosomal RNA", at positions 568 to 898 of the family's 1533-position model. The record is from RNAcentral.